AGGUUUGCUCAGGUUGGAGUUCGUCGGAGAUAUUAUCACACUGUCAAGCUAUCGCUAUUGGUUGUUGACAAGCCAGCUCGGAAAUCGGAAACGGUCGGAGGCACGCUCACACUAUCCGUAUACCAUCUUGGCAUAAUGGCUUGUAUAUUUUGAGUAUGGCAUGUAUAGCAUUAUAAUCAUUUUAUAUGUAUGGUCUUAUGAUAUGGUUAUUGAGUGGUAUGGAAAUAGAAAUGCUUGGUAAUGAUUAGCCAUUGGAAUGGCUAAUCAUGAUCAUAUUUGGUAUUAUGUAUGUCAAAUUGCUAGCUAAUCCAUGGAAACCAUGAAAUAGGUAAAAUUUACCAUAAAA
This is a long non-coding RNA of Gossypium arboreum, 346 nucleotides long. RefSeq lists it as uncharacterized. NCBI's taxonomy places the organism in Eukaryota, Viridiplantae, Streptophyta, Magnoliopsida, Malvales, Malvaceae. The record is from RefSeq and is a predicted model, not a curated record. The transcript is spliced from 2 exons.